RNAcentral lists this ribosomal RNA (1154 nucleotides) under Neodidymelliopsis sp. 1 FTA-2017. Its description in RNAcentral is "partial 28S ribosomal RNA". It matches the Rfam family "Eukaryotic large subunit ribosomal RNA", at positions 54 to 1290 of the family's 3401-position model. The record is from RNAcentral. Lineage: Eukaryota; Fungi; Ascomycota; Dothideomycetes; Pleosporales; Didymellaceae.
CAUCAGAGAGACCAACAGGGAUUGCCCUAGUAACGGCGAGUGAAGCGGCAACAGCUCAAAUUUGAAAUCUGGCGUCUUUGGCGUCCGAGUUGUAAUUUGCAGAGGGCGCUUUGGCAUCGGCAGCGGUCCAAGUUCCUUGGAACAGGACGUCACAGAGGGUGAGAAUCCCGUACGUGAUCGCUAGCCUUUACCGUGUAAAGCCCCUUCGACGAGUCGAGUUGUUUGGGAAUGCAGCUCUAAAUGGGAGGUAAAUUUCUUCUAAAGCUAAAUACUGGCCAGAGACCGAUAGCGCACAAGUAGAGUGAUCGAAAGAUGAAAAGCACUUUGGAAAGAGAGUUAAAAAGCACGUGAAAUUGUUGAAAGGGAAGCGCUUGCAGCCAGACUUGCCUGUAGUUGCUCAUCCGGGUUUCUACCCGGUGCACUCUUCUAUAGGCAGGCCAGCAUCAGUUUGGGCGGUUGGAUAAAGGUCUCUGUCAUGUACCUCUCUUCGGGGAGAACUUAUAGGGGAGACGACAUGCAACCAGCCCGGACUGAGGUCCGCGCAUCUGCUAGGAUGCUGGCGUAAUGGCUGUAAGCGGCCCGUCUUGAAACACGGACCAAGGAGUCUAACAUCUAUGCGAGUGUUUGGGUGUCAAGCCCGAACGCGUAAUGAAAGUGAACGGAGGUGGGAACCUUUCGGGGUGCACCAUCGACCGAUCCUGAUGUCUUCGGAUGGAUUUGAGUAAGAGCAUAGCUGUUGGGACCCGAAAGAUGGUGAACUAUGCUUGAAUAGGGUGAAGCCAGAGGAAACUCUGGUGGAGCUCGCAGCGGUUCUGACGUGCAAAUCGAUCGUCAAAUUUGGCAUAGGGGCGAAAGACUAAUCGAACUAUCUAGUAGCUGGUUCCUGCCGAAGUUUCCCUCAGAUAGCAGUACGUUUUCAGUUUUAUGAGUAAAGCGAUGAAUAGAGCCUGGGGGUUGAAACACUUCACUAUCUCAAACUUUAAUAUGUAGAGUCUGGUACUGAAUGGACGUGACGUGGAUGUAUCGUUACUAGUGGCAUUUUGUAAGCGACUGCGAUGCGAUGACGAAGCGGGUAGUCGAUUACGCUCAUCGACCCAAACGGUAGUCACUUGAGCCAGACGUGCACUGUAGUCGAUCGCUUAGAGUGUUACAGU